RNAcentral lists this ribosomal RNA (216 nucleotides) under uncultured bacterium. RNAcentral's name for it is "partial 16S ribosomal RNA". It matches the Rfam family "Bacterial small subunit ribosomal RNA", at positions 1284 to 1500 of the family's 1533-position model. The record is from RNAcentral.
GGUCUCAGUUCAGAUUGCAGGCUGCAACCCGCCUGCAUGAAGUCGGAAUUGCUAGUAAUCGCGGAUCAGCAUGCCGCGGUGAAUACGUUCCCGGGCCUUGUACACACCGCCCGUCACACCAUGGGAGCCGGUAAUACCCGAAGUCAGUAGUCCAACCUCGUGAGGACGCUGCCGAAGGUAGGAUUGGCGACUGGGGUGAAGUCGUAACAAGGUAUC